This 503-nucleotide ribosomal RNA is filed under the name uncultured bacterium. RNAcentral describes it as "partial 16S ribosomal RNA". It matches the Rfam family "Bacterial small subunit ribosomal RNA", at positions 29 to 507 of the family's 1533-position model. The record is from RNAcentral.
AACGAACGCUGGCGGCGUGCCUAACACAUGCAAGUCGAACGAGAAAGGGGCUUCGGCUCCGAGUAAAGUGGCGCACGGGUGAGUAACACGGGGUUAACCGGCCUCUAAGAUUGGGAUAACUCGUCGAAAGAUGAGCUAAUACCGAAUAAGACCACAGUUCCCGCGGGAACAGGGGUCAAAGGUAGCCUCUGCUUGCAAGCUAUCACUUAGAGAUGGGCCUGCGCACCAUUAGCUAGUUGGUAGGGUAACGGCCUACCAAGGCAAAGAUGGUUAGCUGGUCGGAGAGGAUGAUAAGCCACACUGGAAGUGAGACACGGUCCAGACUACUACGGGAGGCAGCAGUGGGGAAUAUUGCGCAAUGGGCGAAAGCUUGACGCAGCAACGCCGAGUGAGUGAUGAAGGCGUUCGGGUCGUAAAGAUCUGUCGGGAGGAACGAAUGCUCCUGAGGUUAACAGCCUCGGGAGGUGACGGUACCUUCAAAGGAAGCACCGGCUAACUCUGUG